UCCUCGCUCAAAGAAUCGCAACGAAGCACACAAAUAGAGCGCCCUUGGGCGUCUCUUCCUUUCGCUUUGGGAGAAAGUCCCCGGACAUCGGUUCUUCAUGGACUGCACUUUCAGCAACGAAUCGCCAUAGAAGCGCGACUUCCUACCGAUCACGACACUUCUUCGCUCUCUUUUCCGUUAGUCUCUUCCGAAGCUGCUCUCUCGAUGGCGCAGGUGGAGGGGUUGGCACCGGGGCGAUGAUAUGAGCCCGCUGGCUACCUUGCCUGUUGUCUGACAGAUCGUCUUGCAAGCGGAGGAGGAGGAUGGAGAUGUCGAAGUUGCGCCAGGUACGGAGGGUCUUCUCGUCCAGUUUAUGGUUAUGCGAUUGCCAUCUGAACGACUCGGUCAUACGGGUCGUGUUGGUGGUAACUCAAUGGGGCUUAUUCUUGAGGCGAGG
Molecule: RNase MRP RNA, 436 nt
Filed under: Parastagonospora nodorum SN15
Lineage: Eukaryota; Fungi; Ascomycota; Dothideomycetes; Pleosporales; Phaeosphaeriaceae
Description: Phaeosphaeria nodorum SN15 rNase MRP
Rfam family: RNase MRP
About the family: RNase MRP is an enzymatically active ribonucleoprotein with two distinct roles in eukaryotes.
Source: Rfam by way of RNAcentral